UGAUUUCCAGAGAAAGUUUUCAGCUUGGACGUUCCUUACCAAGAAAAGGGAUGGCUAAAUACCGUGCCAGCAGGCCGCGGUAAUACGUAUGUCCGAGCGUUAUCCGGAUUUAUUGGGCGUAAGCGAGCGCAGACGGUUUAUUAAGUCUGAUGUGAAAUCCCGAGGCCCAAACCUCGGAACUGCAUUGGAAACUGAUUUACUUGAGUGCGAUAGAGGCAAGUGGAACUCCAUGUGUAGCGGUGAAAUGCGUAGAUAUGUGGAAGAACACCAGUGGCGAAAGCGGCUUGCUAGAUCGUAACUGACGUUGAGGGCUCGAAAGUAUGGGUAGCAAACGGGAUUAGAUACCCCGGUAGUCCAUACCGUAAACGAUGGGUGCUAGUUGUUAAGAGGUUUCCGCCUCCUAGUGACGUAGCAAACGCAUUAAGCACCCCGCCUGAGGAGUACGGCCGCAAGGCUAAAACUUAAAGGAAUUGACGGGGACCCGCACAAGCGGUGGAGCAUGUGGUUUAAUUCGAAGAUACGCGAAAAACCUUACCAGGUCUUGACAUACCAAUGAUCGCUUUUGUAAUGAAAGCUUUUCUUCGGAACAUUGGAUACAGGUGGUGCAUGGUCGUCGUCAGCUCGUGUCGUGAGAUGUUGGGUUAAGUCCCGCAACGAGCGCAACCCUUGUUAUUAGUUGCCAGCAUUUAGUUGGGCACUCUAAUGAGACUGCCGGUGAUAAACCGGAGGAAGGUGGGGACGACGUCAGAUCAUCAUGCCCCUUAUGACCUGGGCAACACACGUGCUACAAUGGGAAGUACAACGAGUCGCAAACCGGCGACGGUAAGCUAAUCUCUUAAAACUUCUCUCAGUUCGGACUGGAGUCUGCAACUCGACUCCACGAAGGCGGAAUCGCUAGUAAUCGCGAAUCAGCAUGUCGCGGUGAAUACGUUCCCGGGUCUUGUACACACCGCCCGUCAAAUCAUGGGAGUCGGAAGUACCCAAAGUCGCUUGGCUAACUUUUAGAGGCCGGUGCCUAAAGGGUAAAAUCCGAGAUCGAAUC
Molecule: ribosomal RNA, 1042 nt
Filed under: Oenococcus oeni
Lineage: Bacteria; Bacillati; Bacillota; Bacilli; Lactobacillales; Lactobacillaceae
Description: bacterial SSU rRNA
Rfam family: Bacterial small subunit ribosomal RNA
Source: RNAcentral